This 465-nucleotide ribosomal RNA is filed under the name uncultured bacterium. RNAcentral's name for it is "partial 16S ribosomal RNA". It matches the Rfam family "Bacterial small subunit ribosomal RNA", at positions 28 to 507 of the family's 1533-position model. The record is from RNAcentral.
GACGAACGCUGGCGGCGUGCUUAACACAUGCAAGUCGAACGGAAAGGCCCCUUUGGGGGUCCUCGAGUGGCGAACGGGUGAGUAACACGUGAGUAACCUGCCCUUGACUUCGGGAUAACUUCAGGAAACUGGGGCUAAUACCGGAUAGGAAUCCUUGCUGCAUGGUGGGGGUUGGAAAGCUUCGGCGGUUUUGGAUGGACUCGCGGCUUAUCAGCUUGUUGGUGGGGUAGUGGCUUACCAAGGCUUUGACGGGUAGCCGGCCUGAGAGGGCGACCGGCCACAUUGGGACUGAGAUACGGCCCAGACUCCUACGGGAGGCAGCAGUGGGGAAUAUUGCACAAUGGGCGGGAGCCUGAUGCAGCAACGCCGCGUGCGGGAUGACGGCCUUCGGGUUGGAAACCGCUUUCAGCAGGGGCGAAGCUUGUGGUGACGGUACCUGCAGAAGAAGCACCGGCUAACUACGUG